GGGCGAUUAGCUCAGUUGGUAGAGCAGUUGACUUUUAAUCAAUUGGUCGCAGGUUCGAAUCCUGCACGACCCACCA
This 76-nucleotide transfer RNA is filed under the name Enterobacter cloacae. RNAcentral's name for it is "tRNA-Lys(ttt)". It matches the Rfam family "tRNA". Rfam says of the family: Transfer RNA (tRNA) molecules are approximately 80 nucleotides in length. Their secondary structure includes four short double-helical elements and three loops (D, anti-codon, and T loops). The record is from RNAcentral. Lineage: Bacteria; Pseudomonadati; Pseudomonadota; Gammaproteobacteria; Enterobacterales; Enterobacteriaceae. RNAcentral also lists the same sequence under 5 other names.